This 255-nucleotide ribosomal RNA is filed under the name uncultured bacterium. RNAcentral's name for it is "partial 16S ribosomal RNA". It matches the Rfam family "Bacterial small subunit ribosomal RNA", at positions 524 to 776 of the family's 1533-position model. The record is from RNAcentral.
GACGUAGGGUCCGAGCGUUGUCCGGAGUUACUGGGUGUAAAGCGCGCGUAGGCGGUAGGCCAAGUCUGCUGUGAAAUCGCCCGGCUCAACUGGGCGCGGUCGGUGGAAACUGGUCAACUGGAGGACGGUAGAGGCGAGUGGAAUUCCCGGUGUAGUGGUGAAAUGCGUAGAGAAUCGGGAGGAACACCAGUGGCGAAGGCGGCUCGCUGGGCCGGACCUGACGCUGAGGCGCGAAGGACGUGGGGAGCGAACAGG